GACGAACGCUGGCGGCGUGCCUAAUACAUGCCAGUUGAGCGCUGAAGGUUGGUACUUGUACCAACUGGGUGAGCAGCGAACGGGUGAGUAACGCGUGGGGAAUCUGCCUUUGAGCGGGGGACAACAUUUGGAAACGAAUGCUAAUACCGCAUAAAAACUUUAAACACAAGUUUUAAGUUUGAAAGAUGCAAUUGCAUCACUCAAAGAUGAUCCCGCGUUGUAUUAGCUAGUUGGUGAGGUAAAGGCUCACCAAGGCGAUGAUACAUAGCCGAACUGAGAGGGUGAUCGGCCACAUUGGGACUGAGACACGGCCCAAACUCCUACGGGAGGCAGCAGUAGGGAAUCUUCGGCAAUGGACGAAAGUCUGACCGAGCAACGCCGCGGGAGUGAAGAAGGUUUUCGGAUCGUAAAACUCUGUUGGUAGAGAAGAACGUUGGUGAGAGUGGAAAGCUCAGCAAGUGACGGUAACUACCCAGAAAGGGACGGCUAACUACGUG
Molecule: ribosomal RNA, 497 nt
Filed under: uncultured bacterium
Lineage: Bacteria
Description: partial 16S ribosomal RNA
Rfam family: Bacterial small subunit ribosomal RNA
Source: RNAcentral